RNAcentral lists this ribosomal RNA (314 nucleotides) under uncultured Lactobacillus sp. RNAcentral's name for it is "bacterial SSU rRNA". It matches the Rfam family "Bacterial small subunit ribosomal RNA", at positions 381 to 688 of the family's 1533-position model. The record is from RNAcentral. Lineage: Bacteria; Bacillati; Bacillota; Bacilli; Lactobacillales; Lactobacillaceae.
GUCUGAUGGAGCACGCCGCGUGAGUGAAGAAGGUUUUCGGAUCGUAAAGCUCUGUUGUUGGUGAAGAAAGAUAGUGAGAGUAACUGCUCAUUAUUUGCCGGUAAUCAACCAGAAAGUCACGGCUAACUACGUGCCAGCAGCCGCGGUAAUACGUAGGUGGCAAGCGUUGUCCGGAUUUAUUGGGCGUAAAGCGAGCGCAGGCGGAAAGAUAAGUCAGAUGUGAAAGCCCUCGGCUUAACCGAGGAAUAGCAUCGGAAACUGGCUUUCUUGGAUGCAGAAAAAGAAAAGGGAACUCCCUGGGGAACGGGGGAAUC